AAUGAACGUUGGCGGCGUGGAUUAGGCAUGCAAGUCGAGCGCUCAUAGCAAUAUGGGAGCGGCGAACGGCGUAGUAAUGCAUCGGAACGUACCCUUCGGUCGGGGAUAGCCACGGGAAACUGUGGGUAAUACCCGAUGAUAUCUGCGGAUCAAAGGUGAGAUUCCGCCGGAGGAGCGGCUGAUGUGAUAUUAGCUUGAUGGUGGAGUAAUGGCCUACCAUGGCGAUGAUGUCUAGGGGGUGUGAGAGCAUGGCCCCCACGACCGGAACUGAGACACUGUCCGGACACCUACGGGUGGCUGCAGUCGAGAAUCUUCCGCAAUGGACGAAAGUCUGACGGAGCGACGCCGCGUGCGGGAUGAAGGCCCUUGGGUUGUAAACCGCUGUCAGAGGGGAUGAAAUCGUCGGGGGUACUCCCCCGAUGUUGACAGAGCCUCAAAGGAAGCACGGGCUAAGUACGUGCCAGCAGCCGCGGUAAAGUCUAG
RNAcentral lists this ribosomal RNA (483 nucleotides) under uncultured bacterium. Its description in RNAcentral is "bacterial SSU rRNA". It matches the Rfam family "Bacterial small subunit ribosomal RNA", at positions 29 to 530 of the family's 1533-position model. The record is from RNAcentral.